This is an RNA transcript of Anolis carolinensis (green anole), 2540 nucleotides long. It is a transcript of the gene named phosphodiesterase 6G, with no coding region annotated. NCBI's taxonomy places the organism in Eukaryota, Metazoa, Chordata, Lepidosauria, Squamata, Anolidae. The record is from RefSeq and is a predicted model, not a curated record. The transcript has 3 exons.
CCACGCCCCCUCUUUCGGAGAACGCGGUCGCUAUUGGACAACGGAGGUGUCCGUUUCGCUAGGAGGCGGGUGGGAGGCUUCUGGGCCGGCUCUUCCCGCGAUGCUGCUCUUGGGCGCCGUGCGGUGGUGCGGCCGCGGCCUGGGGGCUGCCGGGAAGGAGUGCUUCUGUCUCUCCAAGCAUCCCCAGGACAGCAGUGCUGCUAUGCCCUUGCUCCUGGACCAAUCCUGUCACAAGAGGUUAGUGACUGUGCAGAGGCUCCCUGUGAUGCUCAUCGACAGUGGACAGCGUCACAUCCACACGGAGGACAAGGAUAAUGUUUCCCAAAAUGCUGCUUCCCUGAUGGACAAAGGGCCUGACUCUCAGGAGAAGGCUGCUUCUCCAAAGCCUCAUUCUGAUGUACCUUCAAGCCUUUCUCCUCCUACAACUUGUUGCAUGAGCGGAUGCCACAACUGUGUGUGGAUCACAUAUGCAGAAGAGCUGCUGAAACAUUACCAGGAUGGUGGAGAGGAGGCAUUGGCAGCUGUGGAGAAACACAUAGAGGAUGAGAAUAUAAAAAUGUUCUUGAAGAUGGAAAUCAAAUUCCUCAUGAAGAAAGACUGAAGCUCUCAGGCCAUAAUAGAUGCACAAAGAAAGGAAAUUUUGAUCAUUUACAACAGGGAGAGGGAAUCUUGGAUCCUCCAGAUGUUACUCACUUCAGCUCUCCAAUCCAUGGCCAAUGGGAAAGGAUUAUGGAAGUCGCUUCUGACUCUUUGUGACCUCCUGGACUAGCCCACGCCAGAGCUGCCUUGGCCCAUGGCCACCCUCAACUCUUUCAAGGUCAAGCCAGUCACUUCAAGGAUACCAUCCACCCACCUUGCCCUUGGUUGGCCCCUCUUCUUUUUUUCCUUCCUUUUCCCCCAGUAUCAUUAUCUUCUCCAAGCUUUCCUGUCUUCUCGUUAUGUGUCCAAAGUACUUCAUUUUUGCCUCUAAUAUCCUUCCCUCCAGUGAGCAGUCAGGCAUUAUUCCCUGGAAUAUGGACUGGAGUAUGGACUGAAUACAACUAUGUAUUCUGUAGCAAAAAGGAUUAAGCUAUAAAAGCUUUGUGUUAAAUAAAUCCAUGGAUGAUUGUGUAGGAAGGAAACAUUUAAAAGGUACUUGUUUUUUGUUUGUUUCAUCUGGUACAGUGUACAAAGAUUUGUUGACCGAAUACUAAAAACAACAGUUGAAAAAACUGGCAAAUAGCUGUUUGAUAAAUCAAAGCAGUGUCUGAGUAGCUCAUCUCACAAUCUUCUAGGAUGCCUCAAGAAGUUCUGCCACUGGCCAUAAUCUCUCCUAUUGUUGUCUAGGAAGAUCACUGUAUUUUUUUUUGUUUUGUUUUUUAUGUGGCAGGAGUGACUUGAGAAACUGCAAGUAGCUUCUGGUGUGAGAGAAUUAGCCGUCUGCAAGGACGUUGCCCAGGGGACGCCCAGAUGUUUUGAUGUUUUUACCAUCCUUGUGGGAGGCUUCUCUCAUGUCCCCGCAUGGGGAGCUGGAGCUGACAGAGGGAGCACUCUGCGCUCUCCCCAGAUUCGAAAUGGAACCUUCAGGUUACUGUGCUGAUAUGCGAACAUCUUGGCCUUGCUAAAAUAAUUAAUACAGGUGAUGAUCUGAUCCAGGUCACUGAUCAUAUAAUAAAAACCUGCUGACCCAACUCAAGCCAUGGAUGAAAGAACAAAGCUUCCCAAUAAAUUUUUGUCCACCAGAUUUCAUGUUUUGUCAGUUUAUUCUAGAAUUUCUGGGGUUUUUUUUAGGUCACAAGCAGAGACUGAAAUACUCUUCCGUUUUUGACUAACAUGGCUACCCUUCUAGAAAUUGUGGAUUCAAGAGUAACCAAUCCUUCAAAUAAAAAUACAUAGGGUUUCAUAAGACACACAUGCAGAAGUAGCCCUGUUAGUCUCUUGUAGCGUAAAAAGGAAGAACGCCACUAUGUUUGCGUAUCACAACUGUAGAAAAGCACUAAUAAAGACUUCUUCUUUUUUUCUUUUUUUCUUUAAAAAAGGAAGACAUGUAGCAGCAUGUCUAGCUGGUUUAUAUUUCAGCAUGAGCUUUCAUGGAUACAAUAAACACACUUCUUCAGGUGCAAUCUGUAUUGUAUACUACAUUUAAAGAGGUGGCUUUAUACUCAUGAAAGCUCAUACUAAAAGAAAAAAAAAAACCAGUUAGUCUUAAAGUUGUUGUUAUCUUACUUUUUCACUUCUCCUUUCCAUCCUCCUGUUUGGAAAAUGAUAUGGCAAUUUGAAACUAAAGCUUUUUCUUGUUUCUAGAAAGAACAGAGGCCGAUAUUUAGCCAAUUGCAAUAAUAUUGAAAUGUUAUCCCUGUGUUUGUAUCCCAAAGCCCUUCCCUUAUCCUGGAUACAUAGAUAAUAAACAAUGUAGGUAUCAUUGAAAAUGACACAGGAUUAAAAACAAGUGACAUAAUCCUAUUAUGAAAAGCACAAUAAAUCUAGCAACCCCUUUCAAGCCUCCAGAGCUCUGGCAAGCAAGAGGCACUGGUCACUUUUAAGAGGUACUGCUGUAUUAC